UCGGGACAGAGGAGACAGGUGGUGCAUGGUUGUCGUCAGCUCGUGUCGUGAGAUGUUGGGUUAAGUCCCGCAACGAGCGCAACCCUUACCUUCAGUAGCCAGCGAGUAAAGUCGGGCACUCUGGAGGGACUGCCAGGGAUAACCUGGAGGAAGGUGGGGAUGACGUCAAAUCAUCAUGCCCCUUAUGAUUUGGGCUACACACGUGCUACAAUGGCGUAAACAAAGGGAAGCGAAGCCGUGAGGUGAAGCAAAUCCCAAAAAUAACGUCUCAGUUCGGAUUGUAGUCUGCAACUCGACUACAUGAAGCUGGAAUCGCUAGUAAUCGCGAAUCAGAAUGUCGCGGUGAAUACGUUCCCGGGUCUUGUACACACCGCCCGUCACACCAUGGGAGUUGGUAACGCCCGAAGUCAGUGACUCAACCGAAAGGGGAGAGCUGCCGAAGGCGGGACUGAUAACUGGGGUGAAGUCGUAACAAGGUAGCCGUAUCGGAAGGUGCGGCUGGAUCACCUC
Molecule: ribosomal RNA, 510 nt
Filed under: uncultured bacterium
Lineage: Bacteria
Description: bacterial SSU rRNA
Rfam family: Bacterial small subunit ribosomal RNA
Source: RNAcentral